RNAcentral lists this ribosomal RNA (661 nucleotides) under Desulfopila sp. PR3_H06. Its description in RNAcentral is "bacterial SSU rRNA". It matches the Rfam family "Bacterial small subunit ribosomal RNA", at positions 104 to 755 of the family's 1533-position model. Lineage: Bacteria; Pseudomonadati; Thermodesulfobacteriota; Desulfobulbia; Desulfobulbales; Desulfocapsaceae. The record is from RNAcentral.
GGGUGAGUAACGCGUAAGUAAUCUACCCUGGCAUCUGGAAUAACCCACCGAAAGGUGUGCUAAUACCGGAUACGCUGAUUUAUCAGGAAAGGUGGCCUCUUCAUGAAAGCUACUGUGCUGGGAGGAGCUUGCGUACCAUUAGCUAGUUGGUGGGGUAAUGGCCUACCAAGGCGACGAUGGUUAGCGGGUCUGAGAGGAUGAUCCGCCACACUGGAACUGGAACACGGACCAGACUCCUACGGGAGGCAGCAGUGAGGAAUAUUGCGCAAUGGGGGAAACCCUGACGCAGCGACGCCGCGUGGAUGAUGAAGGCCUUCGGGUCGUAAAAUCCUGUCAGAUGGAAAGAAAUGCCAGAUGUCUAAUAUAUGUCUGGUUUGACGGUACCAUCAAAGGAAGCACCGGCUAACUCCGUGCCAGCAGCCGCGGUAAUACGGAGGGUGCAAGCGUUGUUCGGAAUUACUGGGCGUAAAGCGCGCGUAGGCGGCUAUUUAAGUCAGAUGUGAAAGUCCACGGCUCAACCGUGGAAGUGCAUUUGAUACUGGGUAGCUUGAGUACUGGAGGGGAUGGUGGAAUUCCCGGUGUAGAGGUGAAAUUCGUAGAUAUCGGGAGGAAUACCGGUGGCGAAGGCGACCAUCUGGCCAGAUACUGACGCUGAGGUGCG